Molecule: long non-coding RNA, 1549 nt
Organism: Bos taurus (domestic cattle)
Lineage: Eukaryota; Metazoa; Chordata; Mammalia; Artiodactyla; Bovidae
Source: Ensembl
AAGCUCCCCUCCCUACAUCAGGGCAAACUCUGAGGUGUGAUUAUGCCUAGAGCUUCCUGGGAUCGGGCUAAGCCUGCCUGAAAUCACACCCUGGCUUGGCUUCCUCCCCUUCCUCUCCUGCCUCCCUUCUCCCUUGCUAGUCUCUGCUGAGGCAUUUCCUUAAUGGAUCACUGGGGUGCAAAUCCCUGCCUCCGUUCUGCUCUCUGGGAAACCAUAUUCAGAAACAAAUGAAAAGCCUGAUUGCCACCGGAGACUAAAGAUUCCCAGGAGGAAAUUCAAUUUAGUCCAUGCCGCCACAUGACCCCCAUGGGCUUUGAUGGGGACAGCGGAUGCAGAGACCCCGGGUGACCCUCCAGGAGCUUUGAGUCUGAGGGAUGGAAGUGGCGGAGGUUCCCUGGGCCUUGCUUGCCCUUGUGGGCUCUGGCAGAGACCACACUGGGUUGGGGGGCAGAGAGUCUCUGACAGCAUAUUUAUUGUGAUCUGCUCUCCAAGUCCUCUGAUAAUGCCAAGCAAGAGAGAGCUGAGGGCCCCGGAACAGAGAUGAGUGGCCUCAGCUGUUGAAAGAGUUGGAAUCCCUUCUGCAUCCCUACCCCCAACCCCACCCCACCAGCCAGGGAGUCCCUGGCAACCUUGGCCUUUCUUUCUAAGCCUACCUGCCAUGUUCUUGAAAUAUUCAUUGAUUGGAUUUAAUCUCUAAUUACAUCACGCCCUCUGCCCCCAGACUCCUACUAUGUGAAGGACCUUCAGGAAGUGUUUUGUAGCAGGAAUCCCCCUGCCCACAGAGUUGUGGACAGCACUCUGGGGAAGGGUGAGCUCCUGGGCGCAGGGAUGCUGAUGGCCUCAAGAGAUGAGGUGGGCUGCAACUUGAUGAAGAGCCCCUCCUGCAGGAAGCCCUGGCAGAUGCCCCCUAGAGGCCUCAAUUCAACCUGCAAGCUUGCUUCUCAAGCUGCAGCACCCCAGACAGCUCUUCUAGCCCAUUCGUCUACCUUCCCAAUGGUAGAGACUUAGAAUGAGAGAGGGCGAGGAGUUGCUUGAGAUCACACAGCAAAUCUGUGAAGCUGACACCUUUGUGCCACCUCCGCGUUCUUCACAAGACCAGUAGAAUUCUUCCUCCUGUUUUCCACCUCGACAGUAAAAUGCCUCUCUCCCCUGCCUUGGGACCCAGUGACAUGUUCAGGAUGUGAAGUCAUGUAGGAACAGUCUUUGAAUUCAGAAACAUCUCCUGUUCAUAAAUACCCAACUAACGACUGAAACUUCCACGGCUCCCAAAAUAGCUUUGGAUCCAGCGCUGGCAUUUCCAAGAACAGAUUUUUAUCCUUUCAAGAAUUCUAUGAAAGCAGAGAAUCCUCUAGUCUGUAUGCCUGCUCAAGAGAGCUCCCUGAUCCUGGUCACACGUUGAGCCUUGACCAUGGUCACAAUCUGUGGACAUAAUCUGGUCUUAUUUCCAGAUAAAAGGUAUCUACUACGGUUCAUUAUAAUUAUGUCAACCUCAAUUCAUUUUAACACAAUGUUAGAUUACUCUGAUCAUGCAAUUCCCCAACUUCUAUUG